UGCAGUCGAGCGGACAGAAGGGAGCUUGCUCCCGGAUGUUAGCGGCGGACGGGUGAGUAACACGUGGGUAACCUGCCUGUAAGACUGGGAUAACUCCGGGAAACCGGAGCUAAUACCGGAUAGUUCCUUGAACCGCAUGGUUCAAGGAUGAAAGACGGUUUCGGCUGUCACUUACAGAUGGACCCGCGGCGCAUUAGCUAGUUGGUGGGGUAAUGGCUCACCAAGGCGACGAUGCGUAGCCGACCUGAGAGGGUGAUCGGCCACACUGGGACUGAGACACGGCCCAGACUCCUACGGGAGGCAGCAGUAGGGAAUCUUCCGCAAUGGACGAAAGUCUGACGGAGCAACGCCGCGUGAGUGAUGAAGGUUUUCGGAUCGUAAAGCUCUGUUGUUAGGGAAGAACAAGUGCGAGAGUAACUGCUCGCACCUUGACGGUACCUAACCAGAAAGCCACGGCUAACUACGUGCCAGCAGCCGCGGUAAUACGUAGGUGGCAAGCGUUGUCCGGAAUUAUUGGGCGUAAAGGGCUCGCAGGCGGUUUCUUAAGUCUGAUGUGAAAGCCCCCGGCUCAACCGGGGAGGGUCAUUGGAAACUGGGAAACUUGAGUGCAGAAGAGGAGAGUGGAAUUCCACGUGUAGCGGUGAAAUGCGUAGAGAUGUGGAGGAACACCAGUGGCGAAGGCGACUCUCUGGUCUGUAACUGACGCUGAGGAGCGAAAGCGUGGGGAGCGAACAGGAUUAGAUACCCUGGUAGUCCACGCCGUAAACGAUGAGUGCUAAGUGUUAGGGGGUUUCCGCCCCUUAGUGCUGCAGCUAACGCAUUAAGCACUCCGCCUGGGGAGUACGGUCGCAAGACUGAAACUCAAAGGAAUUGACGGGGGCCCGCACAAGCGGUGGAGCAUGUGGUUUAAUUCGAAGCAACGCGAAGAACCUUACCAGGUCUUGACAUCCUCUGACAACCCUAGAGAUAGGGCUUUCCCUUCGGGGACAGAGUGACAGGUGGUGCAUGGUUGUCGUCAGCUCGUGUCGUGAGAUGUUGGGUUAAGUCCCGCAACGAGCGCAACCCUUUGAUCUUAGUUGCCAGCAUUUAGUUGGGCACUCUAAAGGUGACUGCCCGGUGACAAACCCGGAGGAAA
RNAcentral lists this ribosomal RNA (1135 nucleotides) under Bacillus safensis. RNAcentral's name for it is "bacterial SSU rRNA". It matches the Rfam family "Bacterial small subunit ribosomal RNA", at positions 56 to 1172 of the family's 1533-position model. Lineage: Bacteria; Bacillati; Bacillota; Bacilli; Caryophanales; Bacillaceae. The record is from RNAcentral.